GAAAUGCGAUAAGUAAUGUGAAUUGCAGAAUUCAGUGAAUCAUCGAAUCUUUGAACGCACAUUGCGCCCCCUGGUAUUCCGGGGGGCAUGCCUGUUCGAGCGUCAUUUCACCACUCAAGCCUCGCUUGGUAUUGGGCGACGCGGUCCGCCGCGCGCCUCAAAUCGACCGGCUGGGUCUUUCGUCCCCUCAGCGUUGUGGAAACUAUUCGCUAAAGGGUGCCGCGGGAGGCCACGCCGUAAAACAACCCCAUUUCUAAGGUUGACCUCGGAUCAGGUAGGGAUACCCGCUGGACUUAAGC
This 299-nucleotide unclassified non-coding RNA is filed under the name plant metagenome. Its description in RNAcentral is "partial contains 5.8S ribosomal RNA, internal transcribed spacer 2, and large subunit ribosomal RNA". The stretch from base 1 to 105 matches the Rfam family "5.8S ribosomal RNA", at positions 50 to 154 of the family's 154-position model. The record is from RNAcentral.